AUAUAAGCACACGCACGCCCCGUCCAUCCAUCCGGCCACUCGAUUCCCAGGAUAGAUUCUGGUCUGGUUCAGUGUGUGUGUGAGCUUCUCCCUUCUUCUGAUCGCGUGUGUGUGUGUGUGUGUGUGUGUGAGAAAGAGAGAGAUCUUGAUUGGUUGCACGUACGAGGUACGUGCGUGUCGGUCGGGUGGUCGAUCAUGUCGAUGGCGCAGCAGGGACAGGGGGCGGCGACGUCGCUGCCACCGGGGUUCCGGUUCCACCCGACGGACGAGGAGCUGAUCCUGCACUACCUCCGCAACCGCGCCGCCGCCGCGCCGUGCCCGGUCCCCAUCAUCGCCGACGUCGACAUCUACAAGUUCGACCCAUGGGACCUCCCCUCCCAGGCGGUGUACGGCGACUGCGAGUGGUACUUCUUCAGCCCGCGGGACCGCAAGUACCCCAACGGCAUCCGCCCCAACCGCGCCGCCGGCUCCGGCUACUGGAAGGCCACCGGCACCGACAAGCCCAUCCACGACGCCGCCACCGGCCAGGGCGUCGGCGUCAAGAAGGCGCUCGUCUUCUACACGGGCCGCCCGCCCAAGGGCACCAAGACGGCCUGGAUCAUGCACGAGUACCGCCUCGCCGCCGACCCCCUCGCCGCCGCCGUCAACACCUACAAGCCCAUCAAGUUCCGCAACGUCUCCAUGAGGCUCGAUGACUGGGUGUUGUGCCGGAUCUACAAGAAGACAGGCCUGGCGUCGCCGAUGGUGCCGCCGCUCGCGGACUACGACCACAUGGCCGACCACGACGACCUCUCCAGCGGCGGCACCUUCACCGACGCCACCUGCAGACCCAUGAUAAGGCAGCAGCACCACCAGCAGCCACACGCCGGGAGGCUCCCGACGUUCCCGUCCUUCUCCGAGCUGUUCGACGACUACGCGUUCGGGCAGAACUUGGACACCUACGUCGAGCACGGCGCCACCCACCACCUCGCCGUCCAUCCCUCCCUGAACCAGCUCCUCCCCGUCGGCGACAGCAGGCACGUAGUGGAGCCGUCGUACUACUCGCCCUCGUCGUCGUCGCCGGACGCCAGCGGCGGGAGCGCGGGGAAACGCAAGGCGGCGAGCCCGGAAGAACCCGGCACGCACCAGCCGUCGGCCAAGAAGCUCAACGGGUCGUGCUUCGACGCGCCGCCGCAGUCGGCGAAUGGCUGGCAGGCCGUGGCGUCCGUGCUGGGCGGCCUCAACCAUCACAUGCUUCCUCAGUUCUAAGCUGCUCUUCACGACCCUUCUUCAAGAUCUUGCAGCAUAUAUGACCUGGUUGUAUGCUUCAUCUCAGUAAACCCCAUCGAUCGGAUGACUCGUGACUAAAAAUUAACUUCCACAAGUGUGAAGUGGUGUCCAUAGGGAUGGGCGCGGCCGAAAGCGAACGGGUGGCCAACUUGCUAAAUUGCAAGCUUGGAAAGUUCCCAUUCACUUACCUUGGCUUACCGAUCGCAGAGAAGAAAUGCUCGAUUGCCGAUUGGGAACCUCUCAACACUAAGGUGGCGGACCGGGUAUGUCCAUGGAGAGGUCGAUUUAUGUCAUCAGGGGCACGACUAAUCCUUACUAACUCUAGCCUCUCGUCCUUACCCAUGUUCGUCAUGGGUAUGUUCUUAUUGGCGGAUGGCGUCCAUAAAAAAAUGGACACUCCCCGGGCACGUUUCUUUUGGGAAGGUGCGGGCCCUAAACGGAAGUACCACAUGGUUAAGUGGCAAGCCGUUUGUCGACCUAAAACCCAGGGGGGUCUCGGGGUCAUCAACUCUAAGCUGAUGAACAUAGCACUUAUGUGCAAGUGGAUCUGGAAGCUGUCCCAGGGAGGGACCGGCCUCUGGAUUGACCUCCUUCGUGCCAAGUACUUCCCACAUGGGAAUUUCUUUGAGGCAUCUCCUCACGGGUCACCUUUCUGGACCUCCAUCCAAUACCUCAAACCGUACUUCGCCAGGGGAGCGAGGUUUACGGUCUACAAUGGCCGCUCCACCCGGUUUUGGCACGACGUGUGGAUUGGCCAGCAACCCCUUUGGUCGGAGUUCCCCCACCUCUACGCCAUCGCGGUUGAUCCCAAUCAACUGGUGGCGUCGGCCCUCAGUGCCUCCCCGCCCCCCAUAUUCUUCAGAAGGGAGCUUGUGGGACCGGAGCAGGCCGAGUGGGAUCACGUGCGGGCUUUGACUGCGACCGUUCGCUUAUCGGACUCCGCUGAUGAGGUCUCUUGGAGACUCUCAGGCUCUGGCAAGUUCACUGUCAAGUCAAUGUACAGGAAGCUCUGUCGCGGGCAUGCCCCUAUGGCAGCCACGGGACUUUGGAAGGCGUGAAUCCCGCUAAAAAUUAAGGUCUUUCUUUGGCAAUUAUGUCAGGAUCGCCUUCCUACCUCUAUUAAUAUAGCCAAGCGCAAUGGCCCUGCUUCCGGACCGUGUGCUCUGUGUCAUAACGCGGAAGAUGCUGACCACGCGUUUUUUCGCUGCCCUUUGGCGCGGUUUGCUUGGAGUGCGGUCAGGGAGGCCGCUGGGGUGGAUUGGGAUCCACGCUCACGUUCUCAGCUUGUGUCUUACUUAUCUGCGAUCCCGGGCUCUUUGCGCCGGAUAAUGUGGACGUGUGCUUCGGCCUUGCUAUGGGCCUUAUGGCAUAUUCGCAACAAGUUUACUAUUGAGGGAGCGUUUCCCUCUCACCCCGCCGAUGUUAUCUUCAAAUGCAUCUUAUUCUUGCAGCAGUGGGCUCCGCUGGGAAGGCAACAGGAUGCUGAUCUCCAUCGACAUGCUACCGCUCGGCUCCGCACAGUCUACUCGGUGUCCCGAGCCCCGUCGCCUCCUCCGUCUGCUGCCUUAUAGGGAUAGGCGGCCCUUUUGGUCCUGCUUCCUUUGAGCCUGCGUGCUCGCUACUCUGGCUAGCUAUGCCAUGUAACGCACUUAUCACCGG
Molecule: ribosomal RNA, 2928 nt
Filed under: Triticum aestivum (bread wheat)
Lineage: Eukaryota; Viridiplantae; Streptophyta; Magnoliopsida; Poales; Poaceae
Description: partial small subunit ribosomal RNA
Source: RNAcentral